RNAcentral lists this ribosomal RNA (500 nucleotides) under uncultured bacterium. RNAcentral describes it as "partial 16S ribosomal RNA". It matches the Rfam family "Bacterial small subunit ribosomal RNA", at positions 30 to 523 of the family's 1533-position model. The record is from RNAcentral.
AUUGAACGCUGGCGGAAUGCUUUACACAUGCAAGUCGAACGGCAGCACGGACUUCGGUCUGGUGGCGAGUGGCGAACGGGUGAGUAAUGUAUCGGAACGUGCCCAGUCGUGGGGGAUAACGUAGUGAAAAUUACGCUAAUACCGCAUACGAUCUAUGGAUGAAAGCGGGGGAUCGCAAGCACGCGCGCGAUUGGAGCGGCCCAUAUCAGAUUAGGUAGUUGGUGGGGUAAAGGCCCACCAAGCCAACGAUCUGUAGCUGGUCUGAGAGGACGACCAGCCACACUGGAACUGAGAUACGGUCCAGACUCCUACGGGAGGCAGCAGUGGGGAAUUUUGGACAAUGGGCGAAAGCCUGAUCCAGCCAUUCCGCGUGCAGGAUGAAGGCCCUCGGGUUGUAAACUGCUUUUGUACAGAACGAAAAGGUUUCUACUAAUACUAGGAGCUCAUGACGGUACUGUAAGAAUAAGCACCGGCUAACUACGUGCCAGCAGCCGCAGUAA